UAGUCCACUAUGCCAACAUGGUACCCGG
RNAcentral lists this non-coding RNA (28 nucleotides) under Homo sapiens (human). Lineage: Eukaryota; Metazoa; Chordata; Mammalia; Primates; Hominidae. The record is from RNAcentral.